AUCCCAAGCCUUCUGGCGAUCUGUUCAUAUUUAGCCUAUAGUGUGCUUAAGGAAUCUUUAUAGUAUUUUAAGUAUUUCUAUUUGUCAGAUUGUACCGGGGAAGGUUUUUCCGGUUUACUCCGGGGGGCUUGUAGCUCAGUUGGUUAGAGCGCGCGCUUGAUAAGCGUGAGGUCGGAGGUUCAAGUCCUCCCAGGCCCACCAAUUUAUAGUUUCUGAUCCGCUUAUUGGUCUAGUUUAUGGCAGUUUGUAGGAUCUGUUGGCUUAUCAGGAAUGAGCGUAACUUUCUUAAGGGGCUCUGGUAGAGUGAUUUGAGGGAUUUGGACUUUGCUGUUUUAGUUCAGAAUAUUUAUAGAGUUUUUUCUCUUUAAUCCUGAAUGAGGGGCCGUAGCUCAGCUGGGAGAGCACCUGCUUUGCAAGCAGGGG
Molecule: unclassified non-coding RNA, 423 nt
Filed under: Bartonella sp.
Lineage: Bacteria; Pseudomonadati; Pseudomonadota; Alphaproteobacteria; Hyphomicrobiales; Bartonellaceae
Description: partial 16S-23S ribosomal RNA intergenic spacer
Rfam family: tRNA (bases 125-198)
Source: RNAcentral